This 467-nucleotide ribosomal RNA is filed under the name uncultured bacterium. Its description in RNAcentral is "partial 16S ribosomal RNA". It matches the Rfam family "Bacterial small subunit ribosomal RNA", at positions 28 to 507 of the family's 1533-position model. The record is from RNAcentral.
GAUGAACGCUGGCGGCGUGCUUAACACAUGCAAGUCGAACGGAAAGGCCCGUGCUUGCAGGGGAACUCGAGUGGCGAACGGGUGAGUAACCCGUGGGUGAUCUGCCCUGCACUUCGGGAUAUGCUUGUGAAAGUGGGUCUAUUACCGGCUAGGACCUCUUUCUGGUUGGUGUGGUGGCAUGUUUUUCGGUGUGUGGUGAGCUCGAGGCCUAUCAGCUCGUUGGUGGGGUACUGGUCUACCAAGGUGUCGAGGGGUAGUCGGCCUGAGAGGGGGUACGGCCACAUGGGAACUGAGAAACGGCACAGGCUCCUACGGCAGGCAGCAGGGAGGAAUAUUGCACAAUGGACGCAAGGCUGAUGCAGCGACGAGGCGUGGGGGAUGACGGCUGUCGGGUUGAGGACUCCUAACGCCAGUUACGAAGCAUGUUUGUGACGGUACCGGGAGAAGAAGCACCGGCUAACUACGUG